ACCUACUCCCUCUUAUUAUAAAACGCGGUAUCAAAUAAGUAUCGGCUUUUGUACUACCUUUAAUCCACCUUUAAGUACGACCUUGAAAAAACGUUAUUACAAAACGCAGUUUAUCGCAAGUCCUAUUACUAUCUGUAGUACAAAACAUAAACCAUCGAGCCCCCUAGUUUAACUGCAGUACUUAGUCGACAAACGUCAAAUUCCGACAUUAUUUACUUUUGAGGUUAUUUGUUUUGUGAUGAAAAAAACGAAAGUGGAUAUAAAUAUGUGUGAUUUGGAAUACUUGGAUGUGUUAGAAUACUAUUGAGAGUGUCCGGGGACCCAACAGAAUGCGUCAUCGACAAAAUCUCUUCAAAUUACCUGACGACAAUUUUCGAUAUAAAUAUCGAUUUACGUUUUUCGAAAUAAUAGUCAAUUGAAUGCAUGAUGAUAAUCCAGGAUGAUCCUAUGAUGCUCAACUGGGCUCGCCAUAAAAUUCAAGACUAUUUUGGCGUUUUGCACGCCGUAUCUCUGCCAGUAAUAUGCAAUGUUUGUAAAAGACUGGAAGCUUGCUAAAAUGUACAAAAAUGCCUAGAUGAGAAAGGGAACAAGUUUGUGUGAUGAAGAACAGUGUCCAACAUGUAUCAGUGCAUUUGACUGUAUAAAUAGACAUCGGAAUAAAAUAUAAUUUUCUACUUUUA
Molecule: long non-coding RNA, 680 nt
Organism: Helicoverpa armigera (cotton bollworm)
Lineage: Eukaryota; Metazoa; Arthropoda; Insecta; Lepidoptera; Noctuidae
Exons: 2
Source: RefSeq, a predicted model, not a curated record